RNAcentral lists this ribosomal RNA (463 nucleotides) under uncultured Aquabacterium sp. RNAcentral's name for it is "bacterial SSU rRNA". It matches the Rfam family "Bacterial small subunit ribosomal RNA", at positions 916 to 1381 of the family's 1533-position model. Lineage: Bacteria; Pseudomonadati; Pseudomonadota; Betaproteobacteria; Burkholderiales; Sphaerotilaceae. The record is from RNAcentral.
GACGGGACCCGCACAAGCGGUGGAUGAUGUGGUUUAAUUCGAUGCAACGCGAAAACCUUACCUACCCUUGACAUGUCAAGAAUUUGCAGAGAUGUGAAAGUGCUCGAAAGAGAACUUGAACACAGGUGCUGCAUGGCCGUCGUCAGCUCGUGUCGUGAGAUGUUGGGUUAAGUCCCGCGACGAGCGCAACCCUUGUCAUUAGUUGCUACGCAAGAGCACUCUAAUGAGACUGCCGGUGACAAACCGGAGGAAGGUGGGGAUGACGUCAGGUCCUCAUGGCCCUUAUGGGUAGGGCUACACACGUCAUACAAUGGCCGGUACAGAGGGCUGCCAACCCGCGAGGGGGAGCCAAUCCCAGAAAACCGGUCGUAGUCCGGAUCGUAGUCUGCAACUCGACUGCGUGAAGUCGGAAUCGCUAGUAAUCGCGGAUCAGCUUGCCGCGGUGAAUACGUUCCCGGGUCUU